This 428-nucleotide ribosomal RNA is filed under the name uncultured bacterium. Its description in RNAcentral is "partial 16S ribosomal RNA". It matches the Rfam family "Bacterial small subunit ribosomal RNA", at positions 354 to 796 of the family's 1533-position model. The record is from RNAcentral.
GUGGGGAAUAUUGGGCAAUGGGCGAAAGCCUGACCCAGCAACGCCGCGUGAGGGAAGAAGGUUUUCGGAUUGUAAACCUCUGUCCUAUGGGAAGAAGGAAGUGACGGUACCAUAGGAGGAAGCCCCGGCUAACUACGUGCCAGCAGCCGCGGUAAUACGUAGGGGGCGAGCGUUGUCCGGAAUGACUGGGCGUAAAGGGCGCGUAGGCGGCCGUAAAAGUUUCACGUGAAAGUCCCGCUUUCAAGGUGGGAAUUGCGUGGGAAACUGUAUGGCUUGAGUGCGGAAGAGGUAAGUGGAAUUCCCAGUGUAGCGGUGAAAUGCGUAGAGAUUGGGAGGAACACCAGUGGCGAAGGCGACUUACUGGGUCGUAACUGACGCUGAUGCGCGAAAGCGUGGGGAGCGAACAGGAUUAGAAACCCUAGUAGUCC